UGGGGAAUUUUGGACAAUGGGCGAAAGCCUGAUCCAGCCAUGCCGCGUGUGUGAAGAAGGCCUUCGGGUUGUAAAGCACUUUCGGACGGAACGAAAUCGCGCGGUCUAAUACAUCGCGUGGAUGACGGUACCGUAAGAAGAAGCACCGGCUAACUACGUGCCAGCAGCCGCGGUAAUACGUAGGGUGCGAGCGUUAAUCGGAAUUACUGGGCGUAAAGUGUGCGCAGGCGGCCGCGCAAGUCGAGUGUGAAAGCCCCGGGCUUAACUUGGGAAUUGCGCUCGAAACUACGUGGCUGGAGUAUGGCAGAGGAAGGUGGAAUUCCACGUGUAGCGGUGAAAUGCGUAGAGAUGUGGAGGAACACCGAUGGCGAAGGCAGCCUUCUGGGCCAAUACUGACGCUCAUGCACGAAAGCGUGGGGAGCAAACAGGAUUAGAUACCC
Molecule: ribosomal RNA, 440 nt
Filed under: uncultured bacterium
Lineage: Bacteria
Description: bacterial SSU rRNA
Rfam family: Bacterial small subunit ribosomal RNA
Source: RNAcentral